GCCGGAAUGGCGGAAUAGGCAGACGCAAGGGACUUAAAAUCCCUCGAUGGCAACAUCGUAUCGGUUCGACCCCGAUUUUCGGCACCA
Molecule: transfer RNA, 87 nt
Filed under: Clostridiales bacterium
Lineage: Bacteria; Bacillati; Bacillota; Clostridia; Eubacteriales
Also listed under: 1 other name
Description: tRNA-Leu
Rfam family: tRNA
About the family: Transfer RNA (tRNA) molecules are approximately 80 nucleotides in length. Their secondary structure includes four short double-helical elements and three loops (D, anti-codon, and T loops).
Source: RNAcentral